This 440-nucleotide ribosomal RNA is filed under the name uncultured bacterium. RNAcentral describes it as "partial 16S ribosomal RNA". It matches the Rfam family "Bacterial small subunit ribosomal RNA", at positions 338 to 795 of the family's 1533-position model. The record is from RNAcentral.
CCUACGGGUGGCUGCAGUGGGGAAUAUUGGACAAUGGGGGGAACCCUGAUCCAGCGACGCCGCGUGGGUGAAGAAGUAUUUCGGUAUGUAAAGCCCUAUCAGCAGGGAAGAAAAUGACGGUACCUGACUAAGAAGCCCCGGCUAACUACGUGCCAGCAGCCGCGGUAAUACGUAGGGGGCAAGCGUUAUCCGGAUUUACUGGGGGUAAAGGGAGCGUAGACGGUGCAGCAAGUCUGAUGUGAAAGCUUGGGGCCUAACCCCGGGACUGCAUUGGAAACUGUUGAACUGGAGUACAGGAGAGGUAAGCGGAAUUCCUGGUGUAGCGGUGAAAUGCGUAGAGAUUAAGAGGAAUACCAGUGGCGAAGGCGGCUUACUGGACUGUAACUGACGUUGAGGCGCGAAAGCGUGGGGAGCAAACAGGAUUAGAUACCCGAGUAGUC